UUAGCAUAUCAAUAAGCGGAGGAAAAGAAACCAACCGGGAUUACCCUAGUAACGGCGAGUGAAGCGGUAAGAGCUCAAAUUUGAAAGCUGGCUCCUUCGGGGUCCGCAUUGUAAUUUGCAGAGGAUGCUUCGGGAGCGGUCCCCAUCUAAGUGCCCUGGAACGGGCCGUCAUAGAGGGUGAGAAUCCCGUAUGGGAUGGGGUGUCCGCGCCCGUGUGAAGCUCCUUCGACGAGUCGAGUUGUUUGGGAAUGCAGCUCUAAUUGGGUGGUAAAUUUCAUCUAAAGCUAAAUAUUGGCCGGAGACCGAUAGCGCACAAGUAGAGUGAUCGAAAGAUGAAAAGCACUUUGAAAAGAGAGUUAAAAAGCACGUGAAAUUGUUGAAAGGGAAGCGCUUGCGAUCAGACUCGCUCGCGGGGUUCAGCCGGCCUUCGGGCCGGUGUACUUCCCCGCGGGCGGGCCAGCGUCGGUUUGGGCGGCCGGUCAAAGGCCCCUGGAAUGUAACGCCUCUCGGGGCGUCUUAUAGCCAGGGGUGCCAUGCGGCCUGCCCGGACCGAGGAACGCGCUUCGGCUCGGACGCUGGCAUAAUGGUCGUAAGCGACCCGUCUUGAAACACGGACCAAGGAGUCUAACAUCUACGCGAGUGUUCGGGUGUCAAACCCGUGCGCGCAGUGAAAGCGAACGGAGGUGGGAACCCCUCGGGGUGCACCAUCGACCGAUCCUGAUGUCUUCGGAUGGAUUUGAGUAAGAGCGUAGCUGUUGGGACCCGAAAGAUGGUGAACUAUGCCUGAAUAGGGCGAAGCCAGAGGAAACUCUGGUGGAGGCUCGCAGCGGUUCUGACGUGCAAAUCGAUCGUCAAAUUUGGGUAUAGGGGCGAAAGACUAAUCGAACCAUCUAGUAGCUGGUUCCUGCCGA
Molecule: ribosomal RNA, 911 nt
Filed under: Penicillium vancouverense
Lineage: Eukaryota; Fungi; Ascomycota; Eurotiomycetes; Eurotiales; Aspergillaceae
Description: LSU rRNA
Rfam family: Eukaryotic large subunit ribosomal RNA
Source: RNAcentral